RNAcentral lists this ribosomal RNA (1338 nucleotides) under Triticum aestivum (bread wheat). RNAcentral describes it as "partial small subunit ribosomal RNA". Lineage: Eukaryota; Viridiplantae; Streptophyta; Magnoliopsida; Poales; Poaceae. The record is from RNAcentral.
AUGGGUAUGCAGGCUCUGAUGGAUGUCCGGUGCAAGAAUCUAGUGAACCCUGUAUGCGACUGGAUUGGUGAGAUUUACGACCCCGCCUCUAGGGAAUUUGUGAUUCCGGGACGUGGAAGACUGCCGUUGGACGAGGAAUCCGUGUUCUGCACUUUGGGUGUGCCCCGUGGAGAAAUCAAAGUCCCGUACGAGGCGAAACUGAAAGAUGUGAAGAACAUGAAAUGGUGUAAGUUCAUCGCCAACUUCCUGCAUGAUGCAUUCUCAAACAAGAUGUACCAGAAGGGUUGUCGACUGCAUUUAAUGGUGAGGGCACCUGUUGAGCAUCUAAUUGGGCAGAUUGCAUCCGGAAUGACCAGCUUGCUCGGGGAGUUGGUUGAGGGUUGGACGUCCCUAAAUGGCUCUGACAGAGACGCGGUUGCGAGGCAGUUCACUACAUUUGUUGCAGAACGGACACAUCGGCCAACUCGUUGCCGUGGCCGGUACGACUACAACAGCUCCCAAGAGCUUGCUAACACACAAGAUGAACUAGAUGGAGAUGCUGCUCUCAACAAGGACGAUGACGAUGACAUGGAGAACGUGCAGCACGACACCGAUGAUGAUAAACAUGUUGAAGUUCGUGCAGGUGGUAAGAAGGGCAAGGCUGCACCAGAUGUCCCCUCACCGGAGAAAGUCAAAGAACAUACAACUGCGAGAGGCGAGGGGGUGUUGCCCUCAAAGAGGGGGAGGGCUCCAGAGGAUGUUGGGCAGGGUUCUCCUGGCAAGAGGUCUAGGACCGAUCCCGUAGCUGCUAGGAGGAGUGAGGCGACAGCUGGUGGACGAGCAGUUACGAAGAAACAGGCACCAACGCCAACCCGUGUUUCUGCUCGAUUGAACAAAGGUGCCCCCAUUGCUGGUGACACCCCUUCCACCAGGUCAUCUCCUCGUAUGAUGACGUCCAACACCGGGGAUCCUGUCGUGUUGCCAGACAUGAGAAAGCCAGUCAAGAAGGUGAAGAAGACUACUACACGCGCGGCCAAGCAUAUCAUCAGGGACCCACUCGAACGCCUUCAUUCAAAGUUGUCAACAGGUGGCAACUCAGAUGUUCAUGAGGCGCCAGUCGACAAAACUGCUGCUGCACCGUCAACUGUUCCCACUAACUCUAAUGCAAGUGGCCGACCAUCUCCGCCGGUUGCAGAUGUGCAGGCUACAACAACAGGCAUCCGUACAUCGGGGAGUAACGAGUCAGUAUCUGCCAGGACUGCUGAAAUAUUGCCCACUCUGCUGGCAAUGAAGGAUGCUACUGUGAGCCAUGCCAUCCCAUCAGCAGCGUUGAAGUGGACGCCCCCGAGACCAACCUAA